UACGUAGGGUGCAAGCGUUAAUCGGAAUUACUGGGCGUAAAGCGUGCGCAGGCGGUGAUGUAAGACGGAUGUGAAAUCCCCGGGCUCAACCUGGGAACUGCAUUCGUGACUGCAUCGCUGGAGUGCGGCAGAGGGGGAUGGAAUUCCGCGUGUAGCAGUGAAAUGCGUAGAUAUGCGGAGGAACACCGAUGGCGAAGGCAAUCCCCUGGGCCUGCCCUGACGCUCAUGCC
This 230-nucleotide ribosomal RNA is filed under the name uncultured microorganism. Its description in RNAcentral is "partial 16S ribosomal RNA". It matches the Rfam family "Bacterial small subunit ribosomal RNA", at positions 524 to 753 of the family's 1533-position model. The record is from RNAcentral.